CGUGGCAAUCAUUGCUGGCCUGUUUCUGGUUCUCCUUGGAGCUGUGGUUAUUGGAGCUGUAAUGUGGAGGAAGAGGAGCUCAGGUGGAAAAGGAGGGAGCUACUCUCAGGCUGCAAGUGGUGACAGUGACCAGGGCUCUGAUGUGUCUCUCACAGCUUCUAAAGCGUGACCCAGCUGCCUUUUGUGGGACUGAGUGAAAGAAGAUUUGUUCACACCUCCUCUUUGUGACUUUAAGAACCUCUGACUUCUCUUUCUGCAAAGGACAUUUGAAUGGGUCUGCAUUUCUAUUACGAUAAUGUAAGGAUGUGGAGAGAUGACCAGCCCACCCCUGUGUCCACACUGACUCCCUUCCCCACCCUGACCUGUUGCCUUCCCUGAUCAUCUUUCCUGUUCCAGGGAGGUGGGGUGGGGACGUCUCCAUUCCUGUCUCUACUUCAUGGUGUGCUGAGCUCUAUCUUCUUAGUUCCCUAUUGAAAAUAGGAAUCUGAAUAUAAAUUUGUUUCAAAUUCUUACCAUGAGAGGUUGAUGAGCUAAUUAAAGGAGAUUUCUAAAAUUGGAGAGAGGAAAUAAAUGGCAGACCUGAGAACCUUCCAGAAUUCACAUGUUUGCUGAACUGAGUCUGUUGCAGGAGGGGAAGGGGAAGACUGUGAGGAACCGAGUGUGAACAGAGCCUGUGUCCAAUCAAUGUUUAGUUUAUUACACUUUUUGAUGUGGUCAUUCCUCAGCUGGAUCAUUUUCACUGCUCCACUGUCCUUGUCCCUUCAGUAGAACCUCGUUGCAGCAGGACUCAGACAUCAGCCAGGGUGGCUCCUGUACAAUGUGUCUCUGUGGUAUCAAGAGAUGAAUUUUCAGACCUGUCCAGUUCUUGCUGUUCUUAUAGGGCUCUUGCUUGCAUCAUAUCUUUCUCAUCUUUUUUUCAAUCCUUUUAUUUUGUAUUUCUUUUUCAUUUUUAUGGAUACAUAAUAGUUGUACCUGUUUAUGGGGUACAUGUGAUAUUUGAUACAAGCAUAUGAUGUGUAGUGAUCAAAUCUGGGUAAUUAGAAUAUCCAUCACCUCAGACAUUCAUCAUUUAUUUUUGGUGGGAGCAUUCUAAAUCUUGUGGUUAUUCUGAAAUAAGCAAUAUGUCAUUGUUAACUAUAGUCACCCUAUUGUAGACACUAUUAUACUAUGCUUUAUUCCUUCUGUUUGACAGUGUUUGUGUACCCAUUAACCAAUCUCUCUUUAUUCCUCCUCCCCCUCCCAACUAUCCUUCCCAGCCUCUGGCAAUCACCAUCUAUUCACUAUCUUUGUAAGAUCAAGUUUUGUAGUUCACAGUUAAGAGAGGGAACAUGUAAUAUUUGUCUUUCUGUGCCUGGAUGAUUUCAUUUAACAUAAUGUCCUCCAGUUCCAUCCGUGUUGCUGUGCCCAACCUUUUUAGAGGAACCAACUUCUGUAAUUAGCAGACAGUGGGAUUCCAUAGUUACCAUCUUAGGUAAAUCUCUGUUGGUAUUUCUCUUCUAGUCUGUUCUCCUAUCCCCUCUUCCUGCCCUUAGUUCUAGAAAACUCAGUGUUGGCUCUAUUCCAAACUCAUGGUUUUAUGAAGCAAAGUCUCAUUUAGAUUUUUAUUUGUUUGGAAUAUUGGACCUGUAGUUAAGGAUUGUUGUUUCCUGAGAAAGAAAUAUAAUUGUGAGUUGCCGUGUGAGGGGAGUUGGUGUGGCGGAAUGUAUGGAGGGAGGAGACACACAACAGCACUGGUGAAAAAAAGCACAGGUGACAUUGAUGUCCAUGUAAGAGGACAUUGUGCUGUAGGUUCCACAAAACAGAACUUGGUCUGAGGCUGUGUUAACAAAGAUAAUGUGUCUGUGUUAACAAAGAUACUGUGUUGGAUCAUUCUUCCAACAUAUAUCUGUUGUCGCCAGAUAUAUGACAAACUUUUCGUAUCUGAGAAACAUCAUUAAAGUAACAACAGAAAAA
Long non-coding RNA from Carlito syrichta (Philippine tarsier), 1953 nucleotides. RefSeq lists it as uncharacterized. The record is from RefSeq and is a predicted model, not a curated record. The transcript has 4 exons. NCBI's taxonomy places the organism in Eukaryota, Metazoa, Chordata, Mammalia, Primates, Tarsiidae.